Molecule: ribosomal RNA, 497 nt
Filed under: uncultured bacterium
Lineage: Bacteria
Description: partial 16S ribosomal RNA
Rfam family: Bacterial small subunit ribosomal RNA
Source: RNAcentral
GAUGAACGCUGGCGGCGUGCCUAAUACAUGCAAGUCGAGCGAACAGACGAUGAUCUUGCUCCUCUUACGUUAGCGGCGGACGUGUGAUUAACACGUGUAUAACCUACCUAUAAGACUGGGAUAACUUCGGGAAACCGGAGCUAAUACCGUAUAAUAUAUUGAACCGCAUGGUUCAAUAGUGAAAUACGGUUUUUCUGUCUCUUAUAGAUGGAUCCGCGCCGCAUUAGCUAGUUGGUAAGGUAACGUCUUACCAAGGCAACGAUGCGUAUCCGACCUGAGAGGGUGAUCGGCGACACUGGAACUGAGACACGGUCCAGACUACUACGGGAGGCAGCAGUAGGGAAUAUUCCGCAAUGGGCGAAAGCGUGACGGAGCAAGGCCGAGUGAGUGAUGAAGGUCUUCGGAUCGUAAAACUCUGUUAUUAGGGAAGAACAAAUGUGUAAGUAACUAUGCACGUAUUGACGGUAACUAAUCAGAAAGCCACGGCUAACUACGUG